AACGAACGCUGGCGGCAUGCCUAACACAUGCAAGUCGAACGAGACCUUCGGGUCUAGUGGCGCACGGGUGCGUAACGCGUGGGAACCUGCCCUUAGGUUCGGAAUAACUCCCCGAAAGGGGUGCUAAUACCGGUUAAUGUCUUCGGACCAAAGAUUUUUCGCCUUUGGAUGGGCCCGCGUUGGAUUAGCUGGUUGGUAGGGUAAAAGCCUACCAAGGAGACGAUCCAUAGCUGGUCUGAGAGGAUGAUCAGCCACACUGGGACUGAGACACGGCCCAGACUCCUACGGGAGGCAGCAGUAGGGAAUAUUGGACGAUGGGCGAAAGCCUGAUCCAGCAAUGCCGCGUGAGUGAUGAAGGCCUUAGGGUUGUAAAGCUCUUUUACCCGGGAUGAUAAUGACAGUACCGGGAGAAUAAGCUCCGGCUAACUCCGUG
RNAcentral lists this ribosomal RNA (433 nucleotides) under uncultured bacterium. Its description in RNAcentral is "partial 16S ribosomal RNA". It matches the Rfam family "Bacterial small subunit ribosomal RNA", at positions 29 to 507 of the family's 1533-position model. The record is from RNAcentral.